CCUCUAUUGGAUUGGCAGUAGCAUACUUGAACCAAACCGUGUUCGUCGCCAAUGCUAGUUUAAAUAUUGGAUACAAUGUUGCCUUUGCUUACACGUACUGUUGCUCUUUGAAUAUGAAGUUGUUCGAGCCCAUGUCUCCCGCUGAUUGGGUCCCCUUUAGAAAAUAUGCGCCACGCUUCAACUGUUUUGGCCUAUUGGGUGGAAUCCGGUCUCUCAGCCCCGCAGAAGAUGCUUGGUGCAGCAACGGCAAGACCGUGCCUGACUACAUGUACGAGGACAGAUGGAGAAAUUAUAAAACCAAAAUCGCAUGCCAAAGCACAUUUCUCGCAAUCCCUUUUGCUGAUAAUGAAAUGAGGGUGGUUCACGUGCCAGGAGCGGAAAUCCCAAAUGGAAUGAUUAAGCAAAUGAACAAUGCCAGCGCCACUUAUUUCACGUCGGAGCCUGGCGCAAAUGUUUGCAUGUUUAUUUGCACGCCGAAAUGAGCACUGGCAGAAAAAUACACGACUUGUUCAUUUCUUUUUUUGCUUUCAAUACAUAUUGAUAAAUAUUUUUCAAUGGGGUGGUGGUAAUGAAUGAUAAGUUGCAAUUUACUUACUAAAAUUAGAGAGUUUUUGUAUUUUAUCUAUC
Long non-coding RNA from Cloeon dipterum, 627 nucleotides. RefSeq lists it as uncharacterized. NCBI's taxonomy places the organism in Eukaryota, Metazoa, Arthropoda, Insecta, Ephemeroptera, Baetidae. The transcript has 3 exons. The record is from RefSeq and is a predicted model, not a curated record.